This 429-nucleotide ribosomal RNA is filed under the name bacterium. RNAcentral's name for it is "partial 16S ribosomal RNA". It matches the Rfam family "Bacterial small subunit ribosomal RNA", at positions 355 to 776 of the family's 1533-position model. The record is from RNAcentral.
UAGGGAAUCUUCCGCAAUGGACGAAAGUCUGACGGAGCAACGCCGCGUGAGUGAUGAAGGUUUUCGGAUCGUAAAACUCUGUUGUUAGGGAAGAACAAGUUGGGUAGUAACUGACCCAACCUUGACGGUACCUAACCAGAAAGCCACGGCUAACUACGUGCCAGCAGCCGCGGUAAUACGUAGGUGGCAAGCGUUGUCCGGAAUUAUUGGGCGUAAAGCGCUCGCAGGCGGUCUUUUAAGUCUGAUGUGAAAGCCCACGGCUUAACCGUGGAGGGUCAUUGGAAACUGGAGGACUUGAGUACAGAAGAGGAGAGUGGAAUUCCACGUGUAGCGGUGAAAUGCGUAGAGGUGUGGAGGAACACCAGUGGCGAAGGCGACUCUCUGGUCUGUAACUGACGCUGAGGAGCGAAAGCGUGGGUAGCGAACAGG